This is a long non-coding RNA of Vicia villosa (hairy vetch), 744 nucleotides long. RefSeq lists it as uncharacterized. The transcript has 3 exons. Lineage: Eukaryota; Viridiplantae; Streptophyta; Magnoliopsida; Fabales; Fabaceae. The record is from RefSeq and is a predicted model, not a curated record.
UGUGUCCGACCUUGUCUCUUGAUGCUUUUUUAUUCUAUAAUUUGUGUAUCACCAAAUGCACUAAGUGAGGAAUACUUGUAUGUUUUCUUCCUUACAGGUCCCUGCAUCUAAUCCAGAAGCAAACUGUGGCUACUUUAAAUGGGCUACUUCAAAGUCUAAGAAUAAAUAAAUUGGAAUUGGAAACAACUUUAAUUCAGCAGUCAAUGCUCCAUCUCAGCAUCUAAUUUAGCAACUCCUGAUAAUUUAGCAACUCCUGAUUACAGAUAAGGUCCAUGGCAAAAUAGGUGAAGGAACUUUUGGACAGGUCUUAGAGUGCUGGGACCGAGAGAGGAAGGAAAUGGUCGGCAUUAAAGUUCUUCGUGCAAUAAAAAAGUGCUUUUGGUUUCAUCGGAGUAUCUUAAAGUCCCCGAUUACAAGGCAGGAAGCUUUAGAGAGAUAGAAGAUGUUGCACCCUUGAAGGAGAAAUUGGAAGGCCAUUAUCAAAGCAAGAAAGAAGUGGGAUAGGUGUGAGCAAACUUAGGCUGCUUCUGGAAGAAAUACUACAAAAGAGGUUUGUGAAAAGUGAACCUACUUUAGUUCCACAAUGGUUGAGAAGUAAUGGAAGUGUUACUAGUUCAGCCCACCAUUAUGCAUCUUCAUCUAAUCACACUGAAAACAAUUGCUUCUCCAGGACGUGGUAUUUUGGCCAUGGAUGAAUCCAAUGCUACAUGUGGAAAGCGAUUGGAUUCAAUUGGACUAGAGAAC